Molecule: ribosomal RNA, 1346 nt
Filed under: uncultured bacterium
Lineage: Bacteria
Description: bacterial SSU rRNA
Rfam family: Bacterial small subunit ribosomal RNA
Source: RNAcentral
GACGAACGCUGGCGGCGUGCUUAACACAUGCAAGUCGAACGGAAAGGCCCUGCUUUUGUGGGGUGCUCGAGUGGCGAACGGGUGAGUAACACGUGAGUAACCUGCCCUUGACUUUGGGAUAACUUCAGGAAACUGGGGCUAAUACCGGAUAGGAGCUCCUGCUGCAUGGUGGGGGUUGGAAAGUUUCGGCGGUUGGGGAUGGACUCGCGGCUUAUCAGCUUGUUGGUGGGGUAGUGGCUUACCAAGGCUUUGACGGGUAGCCGGCCUGAGAGGGUGACCGGCCACAUUGGGACUGAGAUACGGCCCAGACUCCUACGGGAGGCAGCAGUGGGGAAUAUUGCACAAUGGGCGGAAGCCUGAUGCAGCAACGCCGCGUGCGGGAUGACGGCCUUCGGGUUGUAAACCGCUUUCGCCUGUGACGAAGCGUGAGUGACGGUAAUGGGUAAAGAAGCACCGGCUAACUACGUGCCAGCAGCCGCGGUGAUACGUAGGGUGCGAGCGUUGUCCGGAUUUAUUGGGCGUAAAGGGCUCGUAGGUGGUUGAUCGCGUCGGAAGUGUAAUCUUGGGGCUUAACCCUGAGCGUGCUUUCGAUACGGGUUGACUUGAGGAAGGUUGGGGAGAAUGGAAUUCCUGGUGGAGCGGUGGAAUGCGCAGAUAUCAGGAGGAACACCAGUGGCGAAGGCGGUUCUCUGGGCCUUUCCUGACGCUGAGGAGCGAAAGCGUGGGGAGCGAACAGGCUUAGAUACCCUGGUAGUCCACGCUGUAAACGGUGGGUACUAGGUGUGGGGUCCAUUCCACGGGUUCCGUGCCGUAGCUAACGCUUUAAGUACCCCGCCUGGGGAGUACGGCCGCAAGGCUAAAACUCAAAGGAAUUGACGGGGCCCCGCACAAGCGGCGGAGCAUGCGGAUUAAUUCGAUGCAACGCGUAGAACCUUACCUGGGUUUGACAUGGAUCGGGAGCGCUCAGAGAUGGGUGUGCCUCUUUUGGGGUCGGUUCACAGGUGGUGCAUGGCUGUCGUCAGCUCGUGUCGUGAGAUGUUGGGUUAAGUCCCGCAACGAGCGCAACCCUUGUUCACUGUUGCCAGCACGUUAUGGUGGGGACUCAGUGGAGACCGCCGGGGCCAACUCGGAGGAAGGUGGGGAUGACGUCAAGUCAUCAUGCCCCUUAUGUCCAGGGCUUCACGCAUGCUACAAUGGCUGGUACAGAGAGUGGCGAGCCUGUGAGGGUGAGCGAAUCUCGGAAAGCCGGUCUCAGUUCGGAUUGGGGUCUGCAACUCGACCUCAUGAAGUCGGAGUCGCUAGUAAUCGCAGAUCAGCAACGCUGCGGUGAAUACGUUCCCGGGGCU